This is a non-coding RNA of Lupinus albus (white lupine), 107 nucleotides long. Lineage: Eukaryota; Viridiplantae; Streptophyta; Magnoliopsida; Fabales; Fabaceae. The record is from the annotation of a GenBank genome assembly.
AUCAUAGAUCAUACUAGCACCAAUACACCGGAUCCCAUUAGAUCUCCUCAGUUAAGCGUGAUUGGUUAAGAUUAGUAUUUGGAUGGGUGACCUCCCGAUAAGUCGUU